Molecule: non-coding RNA, 45 nt
Filed under: Schistosoma mansoni
Lineage: Eukaryota; Metazoa; Platyhelminthes; Trematoda; Strigeidida; Schistosomatidae
Also listed under: 1 other name
Source: RNAcentral
AUCCAGCUGACAAGUCCCAAACAGAACGAAACGCGCGUUCUGGAU